AUGCCUUAAACUUAUGAGUAAGGAAAAUAACGACCCGGGGUGACGCCCGGGUCCUCACUGCGAAUGUGAGAUGAAUUUUUGCGCGGGUACAGGUCGCCCCUGGGUGGCCCGCUUACUUCGCGGGGUGCCCGGGUGUGUGAUCUGCCCG
Molecule: small nuclear RNA, 148 nt
Organism: Patagioenas fasciata monilis
Lineage: Eukaryota; Metazoa; Chordata; Aves; Columbiformes; Columbidae
Rfam family: U12 minor spliceosomal RNA
About the family: Although the U12 sequence is very divergent from that of U2, the two are functionally analogous.
Source: Rfam